UAGGGUGACUGCAGCCCCGGUAAGUUCCUGCCCGGGAAAGCUCAAGGCUGUCAAAAGAACUCUUUGCUCCAGCCAGCGCAUGAAGCUGUGGAGAAUGAUGCUGCUCCAAUUUGAUCCAAUACAGUAUUUGGAAUGCAUGGAAAAGAUCACUGAGGCCUUUACCUGAUGCCUUACUUCUGAAGGAUAUUUCUCCACAUAAUCAGCCCUCGGUUUUAUGGUGAAUGCAGCUGUUGAAGGAAGCAGCUCUCUGUAUUACUUGCUGACUAUCCUGCCAACAGGAAUUUGGGUGUGCAGAAAUGACAUCAAAUUCUUUCCACUGGGAAAGUGCUAGCAACAAACAAGAGGUUAAAAAGCUUUUGAAAGCACAGCAAUUUGGGUGUGAAUAUCCAUUCUGAGGUGGAUGAAUUAGUUCCUGAUAAAGUAUUGGCUGUUUAUUUGAAACUAGUUGAGGAAAAGAAAACAUGCCUUUAAAAAGCUCUUCAAAUACAUAUGUAUCCUAAAUUUUA
Long non-coding RNA from Symphalangus syndactylus (siamang), 506 nucleotides. RefSeq lists it as uncharacterized. NCBI's taxonomy places the organism in Eukaryota, Metazoa, Chordata, Mammalia, Primates, Hylobatidae. The record is from RefSeq and is a predicted model, not a curated record.